This is a long non-coding RNA of Acinonyx jubatus (cheetah), 2361 nucleotides long. RefSeq lists it as uncharacterized. The transcript has 2 exons. The record is from RefSeq and is a predicted model, not a curated record. Lineage: Eukaryota; Metazoa; Chordata; Mammalia; Carnivora; Felidae.
GUGAUGCGUCAAGCCCCGCCCUCCCUCUCGGUCCCGGUCGGGGAGACAUGUGGCAGGUUGUGGGGUGCGGACAUCGGGCAGGAAGGCUGGCCAAGCAGGACCUGGACAGAGGGUCCGGGCAGGGGUUGGGAGGGGAGGCUCGCUGCGGAGAAGGCCUGAGCGGAGGCCCGAGCACAGGAAGGACGGGAGCCGAGCAGGUGUCCCGGCGGGUGGAUCCAUAGGGCAAUGGGGCCGGAGCCAGGCCGGCCGGGGGGAGGGGCACUGCCACGGGGCAGGGCUGGCUGUGCACCAGGGCACAGGAAGUGCCCACGGGCGGACCGGGAAGCACGGUCCCCGGGUCCCUCAACCUGUUCAGCUCCGUGUGGUGGGUGGCUCGGGCAGCACCGGCCCCACCCCCGGGGCUCCGCUGUUGCACAGAUGGAAGCCGAGGGGGACAGUGCGGCCGUGCUGGCGGCCAGGCUGCUGAGGGCGGGCACUCACCGGCAUGAUGGCAAACCGCAUGAAGAGGCAGGUGAGCCCCAGGGUCACCAGCGCAUAGGUGAGUAGUAUGACCCCGGGACGGCCCAGAGCGCCUGUCUCCCUGGAGUAGGGGCCCCGGCGCCUGGGGGCUCCGGCUCCCUGCAUCCUGGGCAGGUGCGGCGGGAGAGCCUGGACGGAUCGGGGCAGGAGGCCGGCACGGUGCGCAGGGGGCAAAAGUCCUGUGGUGCCCGGCGAGGGUGCUGAGUCACGGGGCGGGAGGCGGGCGGUGCUCACCUCUGGGACAGGGCCUGUGGGAGAGGCCAGUGCUGCAGGACCCCCGGGGAGGGCUUCCGGCCGCUUGCUGUGUGACCUUAGGCGCCUCCCCAGCCAGCUCUGGGGCUCUGGGCACACAGCUCCCCGGAACCUAGCCUGAAUCAAGCUGGGGGACCCACGUGCCCCAUGCAGGAAGGCACCAGCACCCCAUUCUAAGAGGGAGGCCCCAUUUUAGAGGCCCGGAUGGGUGCUGACUGCCGUUCAGAACCUCUGCCCGCUGGGAACUUCAUGGAGAAGCCAUCCAGGAGGAAGCAGGAAGGACCUCCAGGGAGCCAGAAGAGAAGUCACAAACCCACACAGCCUCCUACCCUAGAGAGCCCCCCGGCUGUCCUGCGGUCACUUCCGCCUGCCUGGAUGGCACUUAGGGAGCCUGGUUAUUUUGUCUGUGCUGGGGACGGCCACACACAGUAGCCUGUCUUCCGUGCUCUGGGAGCCCUGGAACCUGGCUGGGCCGGACUCUAGGGGCCCUGGCGCCUCCUGCCCCCGGGCCCCUGGUCCCCUGCUCAGCUCCAGUGACAGCUGGGUAUUGCACACAUUUGAUAAACUGCAGAUGAGCGAGACCCCAGCAUCUCAGCCCCUUCCCCCCACGGGACUCACCCUGAGAAUCCUCCCUGGAGCCGGUUUCAUCAGGCCAUGGACCCCGCCCUGGUUUAUUCACCUAUUUCUGACUCCACCCACCAGCCUGGAAGCCCCUGGAGGGGAGGCCCCCCGCCCCCCCCCCCCCCCCAGGCCCCAGGGAAACACUCCCGGUCUGGAUCCCGACUGGACGUUCGGGGAGGAGGGCCUGUUCAAGGACCCACGGCCAACAGUGGGCUUCCAGGCUACCGUGGCUGAUGUCCAACCCAAGGCGGCCACUCGCUCUACUGUUUGCCCCAAGUCAGAAUCCAGAGCAUCUGGGGGAGGGGCUCAGCAGGGAGGCCCUAUCUGUAGGACCCAGCAGCCAGUGAGCUCAGGAUGGAUGGAGCCCGGCGGGGGGGGGGGGGGGGGGGGCCUGCAGUCAGCCCCAGCAGGCUGGCAUCUCCGGGACUUACCAGCUCUUGACAAGGGGCUCGUCCUCUUGACAGAGUUUCCCCAUCUGUGAAAUGGUCUGGGCGGAUUCAGUGAGAUAACGCACGGGGCUGCUUGGCACAGAGAGGGUGUGCCGACGGCAGCUGCGUACCGACCAGCGUCCAGCCGGGGCUGGCCGAGGACAUUGCUGAGCGCCGGGCAGAGUCACGGGGACCUGUGCCCCACGGACCCCCAGGGCUCUGGAGGGCUUGGUGGCACUGUCCAUGCUGCCCAGCGUGUGAACACUAUUCCACCGUGCCCUACGGGUUAUUAGGGAACGGCACAUGAUGGAGGUGUCGGGGUCUGAGUCUCCCCACCAGCCCACGGCCCUGCACUCAGAGCAAAUGUCCAGCUUACGUGACAGUGGCAGCUGGAGGGGGCCGCUGGUGUUGCGCUGUGCUCGGCCACCCCUCUAGGCGUGUGGAGACAGUGGCCACGGGGAGGGUGCUGGCCACCGCGCCAGGCACGUGUGGACACGGCCCCCGAGACUCUUCAGGAGCCUUGCAGGGGAGAAAGCAGAGG